UACGUAGGGUGCGAGCGUUAAUCGGAAUCACUGGGCGUAAAGCGCACGUAGGUGGCUUUUCAAGUCUGUUGUGAAAGCCCAGGGCCUAACCCUGGAAGUGCAGCAGAUACUGUUAAGCUUGAGUAUGGGAGAGGAUAGUGGAAUUUCUGGUGUAGUGGUGAAAUACGUAGAUAUCAGAAGGAACACCAGUGGCGAAGGCGGCUAUCUGGCCCAAUACUGACACUGAGGUGCGAAAGCGUGGGGAUCAAACAGG
RNAcentral lists this ribosomal RNA (253 nucleotides) under uncultured bacterium. RNAcentral describes it as "partial 16S ribosomal RNA". It matches the Rfam family "Bacterial small subunit ribosomal RNA", at positions 524 to 776 of the family's 1533-position model. The record is from RNAcentral.